CUAGUAAUGUGUAAAUGAUGUAUACAGAUACCUGUUCAAUUCUGUUAAAUUAUGACGCUGGCCCUUUAAGAUUUCGGUGGGUGAGAUCUCAUUCGCGAGUCAGUCUCGUGAGAGUUAGAGCUGAAGUAGUGCGGUUAACAGAGUGUGUAUUGCAUCAUCAGUGCUUUGGAAAUAUACAACUAAUAUUAGGAUAAAACACCAAAAGGGUGAAAAAUAUUCAGUUGUAUUAGCCCAAUAUUGACUUGGUGAAAAGUGCAUCGAUGUGAUUGAGUUGUGAUGUAUGACAAUUGAUGACAAAUGAUCGUGAUCCAUGUGAAGUGUUUCUCCUCGUGUCAAAAACACGAUUUGUUGACUAAUCAUAAAGCAGGGGAGAAAGAAAAGUGCUUUAUAGGCCAUCUGAUAAAAACACCAAAAGGGUGAAAAAUAUUCAGUUGUAUUAGCCCAAUAUUGACUUGGUGAAAAGUGCAUCGAUGUGAUUGAGUUGUGAUGUAUGACAAUUGAUGACAAAUGAUCGUGAUCCAUGUGAAGUGUUUCUCCUCGUGUCAAAAACACGAUUUGUUGACUAAUCAUAAAGCAGGGGAGAAAGAAAAGUGCUUUAUAGGCCAUCUGUGAGAUCCAAAUUGUGUUCAUCAGUACAGAAGAGUCUAAAGUCCACUACCGUUGUUUUUUUUGUUAUCCUAAAAAAACCACAUUUAUGUAUUUUUGCUUUGUUUUUGUGCUUUUGCAAAAUUCAUAGAUUUAACAGGGGAAGCUAAUUCCAGUUUUUUUUUGUCUUUUACAUUUAUUUUUGUCCUGCUCUGGUUUCUAAAACAUUUUCAACCCCAAAAAGCCAAAGCUAUUGUUAAUGCUGUGUCCCUAUGGUCACAGUCGGAAAUAAAAGACCCUUAAUUUAAGUUUGCCUGUGUUUUGGACCUUUCAUUCUUUUGAAAGCAAGCGGUCAGCCGGCAACAUAUAUAUAAAUAUUAUUAUAAAUAUAUUAUAAAUGUGUAUAUAUAUAUUAAAGAAAAUUAAAUGAAUAAAAAUUAAAUAUUUAGGCCAAAAUUUAUUUAUAUUAUACAAAAUAUUUGUCAGUCAUACAUAAAUUAAAUAAGAAUAAGUACUAGUAUUAAAUAAACCAAAUACACAAUAACCUGGUUUAUAUCAAUAAAUACAAUUUAUAUCUCAAACAUUAUAACUAAAUGAAUUUUGCUUGUUCC
Molecule: long non-coding RNA, 1196 nt
Organism: Cyprinus carpio carpio
Lineage: Eukaryota; Metazoa; Chordata; Actinopteri; Cypriniformes; Cyprinidae
Source: Ensembl